RNAcentral lists this non-coding RNA (786 nucleotides) under Biston panterinaria. Lineage: Eukaryota; Metazoa; Arthropoda; Insecta; Lepidoptera; Geometridae. The record is from RNAcentral.
UAAAUAAAUUUUAUAUGGUUUAAUUAAAUUUAUUUUGUAUUUAUUUUACAUAUAAAUUUUAGUAUGAAUAAUUCUUUAUUUUAAUAAUAUUAAUUAUGUUUGUAGUAAUUAAUAUUAAAUAUUUAAGAAAUUAAGAUUUAGUAAUAUAUAAAUUAUUAACAAAUUUUGUGCCAGCAGUUGCGGUUAUACAAAAAUUAAAUUAAAUUUUUUUAGUAAUUAAUAAUUAAUUUAAAAACUUAUUUAAAUUAAAAUUAAAAUUAUUAAGUGAAAUUUUAAUUUUAUAUUAUUUUAUUUUUAUUAAUAUGAUUUAAUAAAUUUUAUUAAUAAACUAGGAUUAGAUACCCUAUUAUUAAAAAUUUAAAUUUAUAAUACUAAAAUAGUAUGUAAUUUUAUUGAAACUUAAAUAUUUUGGCGGUAUUUUAGUUUAUUUAGAGGAAUCUGUUUAUUAAUUGAUAUUCCACGAAUAAAUUUACUUAAUUUAUUAUUUUGUAUAUCGUUGUUAAAAAAAUAUUUUUUAAUAAUUUAUAUAAUAUUUUAAUAUUAAUAUUUAAAAUUAAAUCAAAUCAAGAUGCAGAUUAUAAUUAAGAAUAUAAUGGAUUACAAUAAAUUUAUUUAAAUGAAUUGUUAUUUUGUAAAAUUUAAUUGAAAGUGGAUUUAAAUGUAAUUUUGUUUAAUUUAGUAAAAUGAUUAAAAUUUAAAAUAUGUACAUAUUGCCCGUCGCUUUCAUAAAUAAAUUGGAAUAAGUCGUAACAAAGUAGAGGUACUGGAAAGUGUUUCUAGAAAGAU